GACGACGCUGGCGGCGUGCCUAACACAUGCAAGUCGUGCGGUCUCGCCUUAAGCGAAAGGCCUUCGGGCUUUGAAGCAAAGGCGAGAUAGCGGCGGACGGGUGAGUAACGCGUGGCUUAUCUGUCCCAGGGAGGGGGAUAACGUCUGGAAACGGGCGCUAAUACCCCAUAUGCCGAAAGGUAAAAAGGAGAGAUCCGCCCUGGGGUGAGGCCGCGUCCUAUCAGCUCGUUGGUGAGGUAACGGCCCACCAAGGCUAUGACGGGUAGCCGGCCUGAGAGGGCGGCUGGCCACACUGGGAUUGAGAUACGGCCCAGACUCCUACGGGAGGCAGCAGUGGGGAAUAUUGGGCAAUGGGGGAAACCCUGACCCAGCGACGCCGCGUGGAGGAAGGAGCCCUUCGGGGUGUAAACUCCUGUUGUAAGGGAAGAAGACAGUGACGGUACCUUACGAGGAAGCCCCGGCAAACUACGUG
This 472-nucleotide ribosomal RNA is filed under the name uncultured bacterium. RNAcentral's name for it is "bacterial SSU rRNA". It matches the Rfam family "Bacterial small subunit ribosomal RNA", at positions 33 to 507 of the family's 1533-position model. The record is from RNAcentral.